UGGAAGACCUUCUCGCCUUAAGGGCGCAUAGCACUUUUGACCAAACUAAUCAUAAAAUCUAGUAAGUCAGGGUGCCAUCUCUUAAAAAGUGGAUGCUCCUAUAUUAGGGCAUCUAGAAGUGAAAAUAGCAUACCAUGAUGCCCUAAAUGCUUGGUAGUUGGUUUGGGUCAAAAGCAAGGUUUGACUGACUCAUGAAAUCCUACCUAGAGUUCACAAAAUUGAAGCAGUGAUCUUUGCUUGCAGUAAGGUUCAAGGGAUCAUUUAUACACAUGCUCCAAAGCACCACCAUAUGAGGGUAAGCAAACAUAACACCAUUCUUUCCAAACAAAAAUUGAUGCUAGAUGAUCACAUUGUUAAGGUAGUAUAACUGAGUUUUAUAAAUAAACUGUUCUUCACCAAACAAAACAUCUACUAAUGAAAUCAGACCUUAUUUGCUCUAAGCCCCCAUCAAUAAAGGCUUCAGCGCCCCCCCAAGGCCACACUUUUUGAAAUUUUUCUGCAAGGUCCUUUGAGCCUAUCUACGAAUAUAUCCCUUUUGUGCAGCUUACUACUACCCUCUUGCUUGAAGCCCACUCCAAAGCAUUUGCUAGCUCUGGGUCCUCUUGGACUUGUCAUGUUCAUUAUCCUCCCUCGAGCUACAUCAUCAUGCCAGAACUAAUCCACAUUGACCUACUCCUUUUAAGAAACUAGUUCCCAUUGUAAAUGGAAAACCCUAACUAUUUUCAUGAUUAAUCUCUAUAUUAUUGUAGUAUAAAAUGUUGCAACUUUAAAAAAUGAUAUUUUAUAAUCUAUAACUACCCAAAUUAACCCAAGCAUCCAACCUGCACCUUGCAAGCAAACCACAUUUGUUUGGUCUCCCAAGUCCUAACAGAGAUAACAUUGAUUAACAGUAAAAGAAUGUCAUUGUAAGUUUGUAACAAAAAUUAACUUAAUCAAAACAAUCGAGAAGUACCUGUUUUUUUUGUUGGUUUAGCCAAGCCCCACAACA
RNAcentral lists this unclassified non-coding RNA (988 nucleotides) under Hevea brasiliensis (rubber tree). The record is from RNAcentral. Lineage: Eukaryota; Viridiplantae; Streptophyta; Magnoliopsida; Malpighiales; Euphorbiaceae.